Molecule: ribosomal RNA, 322 nt
Filed under: uncultured eukaryote
Lineage: Eukaryota
Description: partial 18S ribosomal RNA
Rfam family: Eukaryotic small subunit ribosomal RNA
Source: RNAcentral
CCCUUAGAUGUUCUGGGCCGCACACGCGCUACACUGAAGGAGGCAGCGUGUACUCCUGGAUCGAAAGAUUUGGGUAACCCGCGAAUCUCCUUCGUGCUAGGGAUUGAGGUUUGCAAUUAUCCUUCAUGAACGAGGAAUUCCCAGUAAGUGCAAGUCAUAAGCUUGCGCUGACUACGUCCCUGCCCUUUGUACACACCGCCCGUCGCUACUACCGAUUGAGUGCUCAGGUGAAUAAUUCGGACUGCAGCAAUGUUCGGAUCCCGAACGUUGCAGCGGAAAGUUUAGUGAACCUUAUCACUUAGAGGAAGGAGAAGUCGUAACA